UGCGUCUGAUAGUGCAGCGGUCAGUACGCCUGCGGUUCGUGCUGGAGGUUUGAGUAAGCAGUCUGGGUUCAAUUCCCAAUCAGGCAG
RNAcentral lists this transfer RNA (87 nucleotides) under Fistulina hepatica ATCC 64428. RNAcentral describes it as "tRNA-Glu (TTC) (tRNA-Glu-TTC-4-1)". Lineage: Eukaryota; Fungi; Basidiomycota; Agaricomycetes; Agaricales; Fistulinaceae. The record is from RNAcentral.